GACGAACGCUGGCGGCGUGCUUAACACAUGCAAGUCGAACGGAAAGGCCCUUCUUUUUUGGGGUGCUCGGGUGUCGAACGUGUGAGUAACACGUGAGUAACCUUCCCUUGACUUUUGUAUAACUUCAUGAAACUGGGGCUAAUACCGGAUAGGAGCUCCUGCUGCAUGGUGUGGGUUGGAAAGUGUCGGCGGUUGGGGAUGGACUCGCGGCUUAUCAGCUUGUUGGUGGGGUAGUGGCUUACCAAGGCUUUGACGGGUAACCGGCCUGAGAGGGUGACCGGCCACAUUGGGACUGAGAUACGGCACAGACUACUACGGGAGGCAGCAGUGGGGAAUAUUGCACAAUGGGCGGAAGCCUGAUGCAGCAACGCCGCGUGCGGGAUGACGGCCUUCGGGUUGUAAACCGCUUUCGCCUGUGACGAAGCGUGAGUGACGGUAAUGGGUAAAGAAGCACCGGCUAACUACGUG
Molecule: ribosomal RNA, 468 nt
Filed under: uncultured bacterium
Lineage: Bacteria
Description: partial 16S ribosomal RNA
Rfam family: Bacterial small subunit ribosomal RNA
Source: RNAcentral